GACGAACGCUGGCGGCGUGCUUAACACAUGCAAGUCGAACGAUGAAAGAGAAUCCGAUCUCUUCGGAGUGAAGAAUCUCUGGAUUAGUGGCGGACGGGUGAGUAACGCGUGAGCAAUCUGCCUUACACAAAGGGAUAGCCUCGGGAAACCGGGAUUAAUACCAUAUGAUAUCACAGCUUCGCAUGAAGAAGUGAUUAAAGAAUUUCGGUGUAAGAUGAGCUCGCGUCCCAUUAAUUAGUUGGUGAGGGUAACGGCCCACCAAGAUAGCGAUGGGUAGCCGAUCUAAGAGGAUGACCGGCCACAUUGGAACUGAGAAACGGUCCAAACUCCUACGGGAGGCAGCAGUGGGGAAUAUUGCACAAUGGGGGAAACCCUGAUGCAGCGACGCCGCGUGAGCGAUGAAGGCUUUCGAGUCGUAAAGCUCUGUCCUAUGGGAAGAUAAUGACGGUACC
RNAcentral lists this ribosomal RNA (452 nucleotides) under uncultured bacterium. RNAcentral describes it as "bacterial SSU rRNA". It matches the Rfam family "Bacterial small subunit ribosomal RNA", at positions 28 to 479 of the family's 1533-position model. The record is from RNAcentral.